UGCGAAGCCAAUGCUUAUCCGGCUGUUGACGAGAUGAAUAAUUCAUUGCAAACUCCUUUUAUACUCACUAAUGUUUAUAUCAAUUUUACAUGACUUUUUAAAAAUUAGCUAGAAUAUCACAGUGAUAUCAGCUAUAGAUUUCAA
RNAcentral lists this small RNA (144 nucleotides) under Staphylococcus aureus. RNAcentral describes it as "HMPRFS0000_2294". The record is from RNAcentral. Lineage: Bacteria; Bacillati; Bacillota; Bacilli; Caryophanales; Staphylococcaceae.